This 326-nucleotide ribosomal RNA is filed under the name uncultured eukaryote. Its description in RNAcentral is "partial 18S ribosomal RNA". It matches the Rfam family "Eukaryotic small subunit ribosomal RNA", at positions 1470 to 1796 of the family's 1831-position model. The record is from RNAcentral.
CCCUUAGACGUUCUGGGCCGCACGCGCGCUACACUGACCAGUGCAACAAGCAUCCGUCCUUGGCCGACAGGCUCGGGCAAUCUUUGAACGCUGGUCGUGAUGGGGAUAGACUUUUGCAAUUUUUGGUCUUCAACGAGGAAUUCCUAGUAAACGCAAGUCAUCAACUUGCAUUGAUUACGUCCCUGCCCUUUGUACACACCGCCCGUCGCACCUACCGAUUGAAUGGUCCGGUGAGGACUCGGGAUUGUGGUUUAGCUCCUUCAUUGGGGCCUGACUGCGAGAACUUGUCCGAACCUUAUCAUUUAGAGGAAGGUGAAGUCGUANCA